GGUUCGUAGUUGAACUGUGGGCCGCGCUGCCGCCGCGCUCCGCCCCACCCGCAGAGGGUGCGUGGCACGCGGCGCGCGCUGCCCGCGAACACUCAGACACAAGCAGCGCGGGAACGCUUCCCCACACCACGCGUGUCAUGCACGCACGGGGCGCCCGCGAGUCUUUACUGUGACUAAAAAAGCGCGACCAAAGCAGUCCACCGGCCUGAAUUGCAAAGCAUGGGAUAACAAAGCAUCAGCCUCCGGGCCACCGAUUCGGCUUUUGUUGGUUUUAACAGUCCGUUGGAGAUUAUGGGCCGGCGCGAGCACGCACCGCGGCAUUCCACUCGGAACACGCCGCACGCCCCGCGGCGCCUCGCGCGUCGCGGCUCGCCGGCCCGGGAAUGAAGGAGGGCGGCUCGGGGGAGAACGUACUGGCGCGUCAGAGGUGAAAUUCUUAGACCGCGCCAAGACGAACCACAGC
This 463-nucleotide ribosomal RNA is filed under the name Trypanosoma vivax. RNAcentral describes it as "SSU rRNA". The stretch from base 159 to 463 matches the Rfam family "Eukaryotic small subunit ribosomal RNA", at positions 746 to 946 of the family's 1831-position model. The record is from RNAcentral. Lineage: Eukaryota; Euglenozoa; Kinetoplastea; Trypanosomatida; Trypanosomatidae.